GUAUCCAAAUGCCUCGUCAUCCAAUUAGUGACGCGCAUGAAUGGAUUAACGAGAUCCCCGCUGUCCCUACCUACUAUCUAGCGAAACCGCAGCCAAGGGAACGGACUUGGAAAAAUUGGCGGGGAAAGAAGACCCUCUUGAGCUUGACUUUAGUCUGAAUUUGUAAAGAGACAUGAGAGGUGUAGCAUAGGUGGGAGGGGGGUCAAACCCCCGACAAUGAAAUACCACCACUCUCACUGUUUCUUUACUAACUUGGUCACACGAAGAACUCUCGUCCUAUGGAUGGAGAGUAUUCUAGCGUUAACCGGUGGGCCUCUGCGCCUGCCGGGAUUCGCUCCGAGGACAUUUUCAGGUGGAAAGUUUGACUGGGGCGGUACAUCUGUCAAAUGGUAACGCAGGUGUCCUAAGGCCGGCUCAGCGAGGACAGAAACCUCGCGUAGAGCAAAGGGGCAAAUGCUGGCUUGAUCUUGAUUUUCAGUACGAAUACAGACCUCGAAAGAGUGGCCCCUCGAUCCUUUUGCUUUUACGAGUUUUAAGUAAGAGGUGUCAGAAUAGUUACCACAGGGAUAACUGGCUUGUGGCGGAUGAGCGUUCAUAGCGACUUCGCUUUUUGAUCCUUCGAUGUCGGCUCUUCCUAUCAUUGUG
This 645-nucleotide ribosomal RNA is filed under the name Acanthodavacarus klompeni. Its description in RNAcentral is "eukaryotic LSU rRNA". It matches the Rfam family "Eukaryotic large subunit ribosomal RNA", at positions 2279 to 2904 of the family's 3401-position model. The record is from RNAcentral. Lineage: Eukaryota; Metazoa; Arthropoda; Arachnida; Mesostigmata; Davacaridae.